RNAcentral lists this small nuclear RNA (129 nucleotides) under Zalophus californianus (California sea lion). RNAcentral describes it as "U4 spliceosomal RNA (ENSZCAG00015008209.1)". It matches the Rfam family "U4 spliceosomal RNA". Rfam says of the family: U4 small nuclear RNA (U4 snRNA) is a component of the major U2-dependent spliceosome. The record is from RNAcentral. Lineage: Eukaryota; Metazoa; Chordata; Mammalia; Carnivora; Otariidae.
AGCUUUGCGCAGUGGCAGUAUCGUAGCCAAUGAGGUUUAUCCAAGGCGCGGUUAUUGCUAAUUAAAAGUGAUGCUAGUAAUAUUCUCCAUUGAGAUAGAAGAAAUGUUAUUUUUACAGAUAUAAUUCUA